AGCAGUGUGGCAUAGUGGUAAGGCGCAGGGCUUAUGACCAAAAGGUUGCUGGUUUGAUUCCCCACUGGGUCACUGCUG
This 78-nucleotide transfer RNA is filed under the name Megalops atlanticus (tarpon). Its description in RNAcentral is "tRNA-OTHER". The record is from RNAcentral. Lineage: Eukaryota; Metazoa; Chordata; Actinopteri; Elopiformes; Megalopidae.